GACGAACGCUGGCGGCGUGCUUAACACAUGCAAGUCGAACGGAAAGGCCCUGCUUGCAGGGUGCUCGAGUGGCGAACGGGUGAGUAACACGUGGGUGAUCUGCCCCUUACUUUGGGAUAAGCCUGGGAAACUGGGUCUAAUACUGGAUAGGACCAUGCUGUAGGUGGUGUGGUGGAAAGAUUAGUUUCGGUAAGGGACGAGCUCGCGGCCUAUCAGCUUGUUGGUGGGGUAAUGGCCUACCAAGGCGUCGACGGGUAGCCGGCCUGAGAGGGUGGACGGCCACAUUGGGACGGAGAUACGGCCCAGACUCCUACGGGAGGCAGCAGUGGGGAAUAUUGCACAAUGGGCGCAAGCCUGAUGCAGCGACGCCGCGUGGGGGAUGACGGCCUUCGGGUUGUAAACUCCUUUCAGCCAUGACGAAGCCCUUGUGGUGACGGUAGUGGUAGAAGAAGCACCGGCUAACUACGU
This 468-nucleotide ribosomal RNA is filed under the name uncultured bacterium. RNAcentral's name for it is "partial 16S ribosomal RNA". It matches the Rfam family "Bacterial small subunit ribosomal RNA", at positions 28 to 506 of the family's 1533-position model. The record is from RNAcentral.